RNAcentral lists this long non-coding RNA (268 nucleotides) under Homo sapiens (human). RNAcentral's name for it is "non-protein coding lnc-SCN3A-1:1". The record is from RNAcentral. Lineage: Eukaryota; Metazoa; Chordata; Mammalia; Primates; Hominidae.
AAAGCUGUUUUCUGAUAUAUGUUGGGUACCAUAGAGUGAAUCUCAGAACAGGAAGCGGAGGCAUAAGCAGAGAGGAUUCUGGAAAGGUCUCUUUGUUUUCUUAUCCACAGAGAAAGAAAGAAAAAAAAUUGUAACUAAUUUGUAAACCUCUGUGGUCAAAAAAAAAAAAAAAAAAAAAAGCUGAACAGCUGCAGAGGAAGACACGUUAUACCCUAACCAUCUUGGAUGCUGGGCUUUGUUAUGCUGUAAUUCAUAAGGCUCUGUUUUA